AGAGUUUGAUCCUGGCUCAGGACGAACGCUGGCGGCGUGCUUAACACAUGCAAGUCGAGCGAUGAAGCUUCCUUCGGGAAGUGGAUUAGCGGCGGACGGGUGAGUAACACGUGGGUAACCUGCCUCAAAGUGGGGAUAGCCUUCCGAAAGGAAGAUUAAUACCGCAUAAUAUAAGAGAAUCGCAUGAUUUUCUUAUCAAAGAUUUAUUGCUUUGAGAUGGACCCGCGGCGCAUUAGCUAGUUGGUAAGGUAACGGCUUACCAAGGCAACGAUGCGUAGCCGACCUGAGAGGGUGAUCGGCCACAUUGGAACUGAGACACGGUCCAGACUCCUACGGGAGGCAGCAGUGGGAAUAUUGCGCAAUGGGGGAAACCCUGACGCAGCAACGCCGCGUGGGUGAUGAAGGUCUUCGGAUUGUAAAGCCCUGUUUUCUAGGACGAUAAUGACGGUACUAGAGGAGGAAGCCACGGCUAACUACGUGCCAGCAGCCGCGGUAAUACGUAGGUGGCGAGCGUUGUCCGGAUUUACUGGGCGUAAAGGGUGCGUAGGCGGAUGUUUAAGUGGGAUGUGAAAUCCCCGGGCUUAACCUGGGGGCUGCAUUCCAAACUGGAUAUCUAGAGUGCAGGAGAGGAAAGCGGAAUUCCUAGUGUAGCGGUGAAAUGCGUAGAGAUUAGGAAGAACACCAGUGGCGAAGGCGGCUUUCUGGACUGUAACUGACGCUGAGGCACGAAAGCGUGGGUAGCAAACAGGAUUAGAUACCCUGGUAGUCCACGCCGUAAACGAUGGAUACUAGGUGUAGGGGGUAUCAACUCCCCUGUGCCGCAGUUAACACAAUAAGUAUCCCGCCUGGGGAGUACGGUCGCAAGAUUAAAACUCAAAGGAAUUGACGGGGGCCCGCACAAGCAGCGGAGCAUGUGGUUUAAUUCGAAGCAACGCGAAGAACCUUACCUGGACUUGACAUCCCUUGCAUAGCCUAGAGAUAGGUGAAGCCUUCGGGGCAAGGAGACAGGUGGUGCAUGGUUGUCGUCAGCUCGUGUCGUGAGAUGUUAGGUUAAGUCCUGCAACGAGCGCAACCCUUGUUAUUAGUUGCUACCAUUAAGUUGAGCACUCUAAUGAGACUGCCUGGGUAACCAGGAGGAAGGUGGGGAUGACGUCAAAUCAUCAUGCCCCUUAUGUCCAGGGCUACACACGUGCUACAAUGGUAGGUACAAUAAGACGCAAGACCGUGAGGUGGAGCAAAACUUAUAAAACCUAUCUCAGUUCGGAUUGUAGGCUGCAACUCGCCUACAUGAAGCUGGAGUUGCUAGUAAUCGCGAAUCAGAAUGUCGCGGUGAAUACGUUCCCGGGCCUUGUACACACCGCCCGUCACACCAUGAGAGCUGGUAACACCCGAAGUCCGUGAGGUAACCGUAAGGAGCCAGCGGCCGAAGGUGGGAUUAGUGAUUGGGGUGAAGUCGUAACAAGGUAGCCGUAGGAGAACCUGCGGCUG
This 1488-nucleotide ribosomal RNA is filed under the name Clostridium botulinum. RNAcentral's name for it is "bacterial SSU rRNA". It matches the Rfam family "Bacterial small subunit ribosomal RNA". The record is from RNAcentral. Lineage: Bacteria; Bacillati; Bacillota; Clostridia; Eubacteriales; Clostridiaceae.